RNAcentral lists this ribosomal RNA (253 nucleotides) under uncultured archaeon. RNAcentral's name for it is "partial 16S ribosomal RNA". It matches the Rfam family "Archaeal small subunit ribosomal RNA", at positions 474 to 727 of the family's 1478-position model. The record is from RNAcentral.
UACCCGCAGCUCAAGUGGUGGCCACUAUUAUUGAGCCUAAAGCGUCCGUAGCCGGUCUUGUAAAUCUCUGGGUAAAUCCCAUCGCUCAACGGUGGGAAGACUGGAGAGACUGCAAGACUAGGGAUCGGGUGAGGUAAGAGGUACUCCUGGGGUAGGGGUAAAAUCCUGUAAUCCUGGGGGGACGACCGGUGGCGAAGGCGUCUUACUAGAACGACUCCGACGGUGAGGGACGAAGGCUAGGGGAGCAAACCGG